GUAUAGGGGAGCCGCAGGGAAACCGAGUCUUAACCGGGCGUUAAGUUGCAGGGUAUAGACCCGAAACCCGGUGAUCUAGCCAUGGGCAGGUUGAAGGUUGGGUAACACUAACUGGAGGACCGAACCGACUAAUGUUGAAAAAUUAGCGGAUGACCUGUGGCUGGGGGUGAAAGGCCAAUCAAACCGGGAGAUAGCUGGUUCUCCCCGAAAGCUAUUUAGGUAGCGCCUCGUGAAUUCAUCUCCGGGGGUAGAGCACUGUUUCGGCUAGGGGGCCAUCCCGGCUUACCAACCCGAUGCAAACUGCGAAUACCGGAGAAUGUUAUCACGGGAGACACACGGCGGGUGCUAACGUCCGUCGUGAAGAGGGAAACAACCCAGACCGCCAGCUAAGGUCCCAAAGUCAUGGUUAAGUGGGAAACGAUGUGGGAAGGCCCAGACAGCCAGGAUGUUGGCUUAGAAGCAGCCAUCAUUUAAAGAAAGCGUAAUAGCUCACUGGUCGAGUCGGCCUGCGCGGAAGAUGUAACGGGGCUAAACCAUGCACCGAAGCUGCGGCAGCGACGCUGAUGCGUUGUUGGGUAGGGGAGCGUUCUGUAAGCCGUUGAAGGUGGCCUGUG
Molecule: ribosomal RNA, 614 nt
Filed under: Salmonella enterica
Lineage: Bacteria; Pseudomonadati; Pseudomonadota; Gammaproteobacteria; Enterobacterales; Enterobacteriaceae
Description: partial 23S ribosomal RNA
Rfam family: Bacterial large subunit ribosomal RNA
Source: RNAcentral